Molecule: long non-coding RNA, 265 nt
Organism: Centropristis striata (black sea bass)
Lineage: Eukaryota; Metazoa; Chordata; Actinopteri; Perciformes; Serranidae
Exons: 3
Source: RefSeq, a predicted model, not a curated record
AUACCCCUGGUGUGUCUGCAGAGACUCAUUCAGCUCGACACUUUUAUAAAACUUUGGACAAACAGCCUGAUGGGACCGGACAUAGAAGUUGGACCUGGAGCAGACUGAGAAGGACUGGUGCGUUUCAAUGACGUCAGACAGAGUGUGAAUCACCUGGGGUGCUGGAGGAGAGAGGACUGAAGUCACGGCAGCUGACCGUCAGUCUCCCAGCCCUCAGGUUUAGAGGCACUGGCCUAGUGUUUCCCAUUACCUUGUAACUAUUGGA